This 529-nucleotide long non-coding RNA is filed under the name Homo sapiens (human). Its description in RNAcentral is "non-protein coding lnc-NAA16-2:2". Lineage: Eukaryota; Metazoa; Chordata; Mammalia; Primates; Hominidae. The record is from RNAcentral.
AUGACUUCAAGAACUUUUCCUGUAUAACAGAAAUUCUGUGUAGUAAAGUUGUUGGGAUUAAUGAAUUUGUACAUUGCCAUUUUAGAAAUGCUUGAAAUUUAGACACUGGCUUAAUGAAAAUACUUUAAUGUUGGCAUCUGGAACACAAAACAUUUAGUUUUGAUAUAGUUAUGAACUAAUCUUAUAGUUAAGUCUUUCUUGAAUGGUCUUAAAGUUGAACUUUAGGAAGUGUACACACACAUCUCUCAAAUUAAGGUAAAGGAUAUAUCUUACUAUUUCUGUAUUCCCCAAAGUACCAGCAUAUAGUAAAACCUCAAACUCUGAAAUUAAACAGAAAGCAAAAACACUAUGAUAUAACUUUAAAAUUAAGGUUUAUAUCACUUUGAGCAAAAUAUGAAAUUGCUUUUAAAAUCAGUGUGACUAGGCCAGGAGCAGUGGCUCAUGCCUGUAAUCCCAGCAUUUCGCAAGGCUGACGCGGGCAGAUCACCUGAGGUCAGGAGAUUGAGACCAGCCUGGCCAACAUGGUGAA